RNAcentral lists this ribosomal RNA (496 nucleotides) under uncultured bacterium. RNAcentral describes it as "partial 16S ribosomal RNA". It matches the Rfam family "Bacterial small subunit ribosomal RNA", at positions 28 to 506 of the family's 1533-position model. The record is from RNAcentral.
GACGAACGCUGGCGGCGUGCCUAAUACAUGCAAGUUGAGCGAUGAAGAUUGGUGCUUGCACCAAUUUGAAGAGCAGCGAACGGGUGAGUAACGCGUGGGGAAUCUGCCUUUGAGCGGGGGACAACAUUUGGAAACGAAUGCUAAUACCGCAUAACAACUUUAAACAUAAGUUUUAAGUUUGAAAGAUGCAAUUGCAUCACUCAAAGAUGAUCCCGCGUUGCAUUAGCUAGUUGGUGAGGUAAAGGCUCACCAAGGCGAUGAUACAUAGCCGACCUGAGAGGGGGAUCGGCCAAAUGGGAACUGAACCACGGCCCAAACCCCUACGGGAGGCAGCAGUAGGGAAUUUUCGGCAAUGGAAGAAAGUCUGACCGAGAAACGCCGCGGGAGGGAAGAAGGUUUUCGGAUCGGAAAACUCUGUUGGUAGGGAAGAACGUUGGUGGGAGUGGAAAGCCCAUCAAGUGACGGUAACUACCCAGAAAGGGACGGCGAACUACGU